AAUUGGUUUAGUUAGGAGGCAUAGAUCAAUCUGGUAUUUUCAAUAUUGUUUUGAUCUUAAUGUCAUUUGAGGAGGAGCUCUGCUUUCCUGUUUUUCUGCUUCUCCCAAACAGCCUCAUACAUUA
This is a small nucleolar RNA of Raphanus sativus (radish), 124 nucleotides long. RefSeq annotates it as small nucleolar RNA U19. The record is from RefSeq and is a predicted model, not a curated record. Lineage: Eukaryota; Viridiplantae; Streptophyta; Magnoliopsida; Brassicales; Brassicaceae. The transcript has a single exon.